AAUACCGUAUGAUUGCCGACUCAUGAAUUCUCGACGUUAUGUUGCGAAACGCGUGAAACGGCGAGAAAGGUGGUUGAUCACUUCCGGUCUUCUGUUCUCGCUGUUUGUUUACUAUAGGCCCAGUAGCGAUAUUUUUAUUUAGUGCUUUCUUGUAGUUUAAAUGUGGCAUCAUCUGGUUAAAUGGAAACGAGAAAUAGAAGGAAUGUUCGAGCAGAACUGUACUGCCUGGUAGCCUACCUGUCUUUUGUUUGCUACCUAAGGGCCUAGGGGAGUGCCAGCUUGUGAAGCAAAUAUAUUUCAUGUUGAUUUAUUGUGAUACUGAUAAAUAUUUGCAUCACUAUCAGAUGAUUUAUCAAGUUUUGAAGAGAAAAGUUGUGGUAGUUCAGUCGAACAAAUGGAGAAUCAAACAGAAUAUGGAUCAAAUACAAACAAUAACUCUGAAUACACGGCAGCUACUGAUGUAGAAUUUUCAGUUGAUGUUCAAGAACCUUUUAAAACAACCAGAAAAAGGAAAUUAGAUGAUGAAGGAUUUGUAACACCAGCAACUCCAGAUAUCCCAAAGUCAUCUAGUAAAUAUGAGAUGCCAUCUGGCAAUGCCGAGAUGCAGAGGAAUGGUGAUUAUUUAGAAUAUUAUGAUUAUGAAAAAGGGGAUGCGGGCGGAGGGACAGGUUUUGAGGAAGAAAAUCCCCUUUAUAAAACUCAGGUUUAUAAAACAGCUGCAGAUUUAAUUAAAGAUAUUGCUGAAGAAAGUAAAAUGACGACGUUGGAAUGGUCAAGUGAACUUAGUGAAAGUGAAACCUUUGAAUCGUUUUGUGCUUCAAGAUUAGAUCGUUUGGUGACUGACGCUAAAGACCUAGAGGAAUCACUGAACAAACAGAAAGAUUUGCUACGUAAACGACUUGGAUUUAUAUCACGAACACUACAAGAUAUCUGAAUCUUGACAAGUUCAAUCCAGGGAAAACACGUACGAUGCAAGAUGUAUAAAAGAUUGACCCAUAUCCUUGAAAUACAAAAAGAUGCAGUGCCAGUUAUUAGAGAACCUGUCUAGGAUGAAAGAACUGAAUACAGGGUAUAAAGAUAUUAAAAUAUUAUCAAAAAAAAUAAUGAUUUAUUCAAAUCUUUGAAAACUGAGUGUAUUGUUUAAUUUGUUUUGCCUUUAUUGGUUUUUGUAUGCCCACAAAAUUAUCAUUCUCGGAGUGCAUUGUUGUUAAACUUUACACACUACAGUUGUUGUUAACUUGUUUUCAAAUUUACUGGUAUUGAUCAUUUAGUGGUUAAAGGGAAAAUUCUAAAUUUUUUCAAUGCAUAUCACAGUUAUUUCUUCAUUUAGAGUUAGUUCGUCAUGCAAUGUUUUAAAGGUCAGUGGGAUGGCAAAUUUUCUUCUGAUCAUAUUUUGAAUUUUAAAGCUUGUGAAAAUGAUGCAAGAACAAUAUUCUGGAUGGAACACUAUGGAAGGAGUAAUCUGAACAUACUGAAUGCUAUACGCUAUGGAGAUCUCGACAAAAUUUUUUGAAACUUGUCAAUAUAGAAUUCUCAUUCUAUUCAUAAUGUUUUUUUUAUGUUCACAUCUUUACUUUGAAAGUUUAGUACAUAAUUCAUAAUAUAUUUUCUUGCUAUGAGAAAUUUGUUGGCACUACAUGUAAUUCUAGAUUCACCAGUAGCAUAGGCGACUUUGGGGUCAGAUAAUCCCUUGUCUAUGUCAAGUUUAUACAGGUAUAAUAUGAUUCACCAAUACUGGUACUAGUUAUAAGUUGGCCAGUGCUGUUAGAUGUAUUUCUGGUAAAUAUUGACCCAAGUGAAAAUAAGACCUUUUUCCAUUAGACCCUGGUGUUAUUUAUGUGUGUUAUAUUUUAUUUAUUAAUUGUUAACCUUAUUUAACUGGACAUUCCAUUGUAAAAUAUUUGUAAAUUACAUGAAUUGUACCCAUCUGUAUAUUAUUUUCUUUAUGAAUUGAUAAAAUAUAUUGAACCAAAAUAUGUAAAUUAUUUCAUUUGAUCUGAUUGAUAAAGAGGCAUACUUUCAACCAUACUUACAUAUCAUAUUCAUAAAAACCUCAGCCUCCCCU
This is a long non-coding RNA of Patella vulgata (common limpet), 2065 nucleotides long. RefSeq lists it as uncharacterized. Lineage: Eukaryota; Metazoa; Mollusca; Gastropoda; Patellidae. The transcript has 8 exons. The record is from RefSeq and is a predicted model, not a curated record.